Molecule: transfer RNA, 71 nt
Filed under: Hirsutella minnesotensis 3608
Lineage: Eukaryota; Fungi; Ascomycota; Sordariomycetes; Hypocreales; Ophiocordycipitaceae
Description: tRNA-His (GTG) (tRNA-His-GTG-1-1)
Rfam family: tRNA
About the family: Transfer RNA (tRNA) molecules are approximately 80 nucleotides in length. Their secondary structure includes four short double-helical elements and three loops (D, anti-codon, and T loops). Further hydrogen bonds mediate the characteristic L-shaped molecular structure. tRNAs have two regions of fundamental functional importance: the anti-codon, which is responsible for specific mRNA codon recognition, and the 3' end, to which the tRNAs corresponding amino acid is attached (by aminoacyl-tRNA synthetases). tRNAs cope with the degeneracy of the genetic code in two manners: having more than one tRNA (with a specific anti-codon) for a particular amino acid; and 'wobble' base-pairing, i.e. permitting non-standard base-pairing at the 3rd anti-codon position.
Source: RNAcentral
GCUGUAAUGGUGUAAUGGUAACAUUUCAGUUUGUGGCACUGACGCUCGAGGUUCGAUUCCUCGUUACAGCA